This 497-nucleotide ribosomal RNA is filed under the name uncultured bacterium. RNAcentral's name for it is "partial 16S ribosomal RNA". It matches the Rfam family "Bacterial small subunit ribosomal RNA", at positions 28 to 507 of the family's 1533-position model. The record is from RNAcentral.
GAUGAACGCUGCCGGCGUGCCUAAUACAUGCAAGUCGAGCGAACAGAUGAGGAGCUUGCUCCUCUGACGUUAGCGGCGGACGGGUGAGUAACACGUGGAUAACCUACCUAUAAGACUGGGAUAACUUCGGGAAACCGGAGCUAAUACCGGAUAAUAUAUUGAACCGCAUGGUUCAAUAGUGAAAGACGGUUUUGCUGUCACUUAUAGAUGGAUCCGCGCCGCAUUAGCUAGUUGGUAAGGUAACGGCUUACCAAGGCAACGAUGCGUAGCCGACCUGAGAGGGUGAUCGGCCACACUGGAACUGAGACACGGUCCAGACUCCUACGGGAGGCAGCAGUAGGGAAUCUUCCGCAAUGGGCGAAAGCUUGACGGAGCAACGCCGCGUGAGUGAUGAAGGUCUUCGGAUCGUAAAACUCUGUUAUUAGGGAAGAACAAAUGUGUAAGUAACUAUGCACGUCUUGACGGUACCUAAUCAGAAAGCCACGGCUAACUACGUG